GACGAACGCUGGCGGCGUGCUUAACACAUGCAAGUCGAACGGAAAGGCCCUGCUUUUGUGGGGUGCUCGAGUGGCGAACGGGUGAGUAACACGUGAGUAACCUGCCCUUGACUUUGGGAUAACUUCAGGAAACUUGGGCUAAUACCGGAUAGGAGCUCCUGCUGCAUGGUGGGGGUUGGAAAGUUUCGGCGGUUGGGGAUGGACUCGCGGCUUAUCAGCUUGUUGGUGGGGUAGUGGCUUACCAAGGCUUUGACGGGUAGCCGGCCUGAGAGGGUGACCGGCCACAUUGGGACUGAGAUACGGCCCAGACUCCUACGGGAGGCAGCAGUGGGGAAUAUUGCACAAUGGGCGGAAGCCUGAUGCAGCAACGCCGCGUGCGGGAUGACGGCCUUCGGGUUGUAAACCGCUUUCGCCUGUGACGAAGCGUGAGUGACGGUAAUGGGUAAAGAAGCACCGGCUAACUACGUGCCAGCAGCCGCGGUGAUACGUAGGGUGCGAGCGUUGUCCGGAUUUAUUGGGCGUAAAGGGCUCGUAGGUGGUUGAUCGCGUCGGAAGUGUAAUCUUGGGGCUUAACCCUGAGCGUGCUUUCGAUACGGGUUGACUUGAGGAAGGUAGGGGAGAAUGGAAUUCCUGGUGGAGCGGUGGAAUGCGCAGAUAUCAGGAGGAACACCAGUGGCGAAGGCGGUUCUCUGGGCCUUUCCUGACGCUGAGGAGCGAAAGCGUGGGGAGCGAACAGGCUUAGAUACCCUGGUAGUCCACGCUGUAAACGGUGGGUACUAGGUGUGGGGUCCAUUCCACGGGUUCCGUGCCGUAGCUAACGCUUUAAGUACCCCGCCUGGGGAGUACGGCCGCAAGGCUAAAACUCAAAGGAAUUGACGGGGCCCCGCACAAGCGGCGGAGCAUGCGGAUUAAUUCGAUGCAACGCGUAGAACCUUACCUGGGUUUGACAUGGAUCGGGAGUGCUCAGAGAUGGGUGUGCCUCUUUUGGGGUCGGUUCACAGGUGGUGCAUGCCUGUCGUCAGCUCGUGUCGUGAGAUGUUGGGUUAAGUCCCGCAACGAGCGCAACCCUUGUUCACUGUUGCCAGCACGUUAUGGUGGGGACUCAGUGGAGACCGCCGGGGUCAACUCGGAGGAAGGUGGGGAUGACGUCAAGUCCUCAUGCCCCUUAUGUCCAGGGCUUCACGCAUGCUGCAAUGGCUGGUACAGAGAGUGGCGAGCCUGUGAGGGUGAGCGAAUCUCGGAAAGCCGGUCUCAGUUCGGAUUGGGGUCUGCAACUCGACCUCAUGAAGUCGGAGUCGCUAGUAAUCGCAGAUCAGCAACGCUGCGGUGAAUACGUUCCCGGGGCU
Molecule: ribosomal RNA, 1346 nt
Filed under: uncultured bacterium
Lineage: Bacteria
Description: bacterial SSU rRNA
Rfam family: Bacterial small subunit ribosomal RNA
Source: RNAcentral